RNAcentral lists this ribosomal RNA (301 nucleotides) under uncultured bacterium. RNAcentral's name for it is "partial 16S ribosomal RNA". It matches the Rfam family "Bacterial small subunit ribosomal RNA", at positions 509 to 808 of the family's 1533-position model. The record is from RNAcentral.
CAGCCGCCGCGGGAAUACAGAGGGUGCGAGCGUUAAUCGGAUUUACUGGGCGUAAAGCGUGCGUAGGCGGCUUUUUAAGUCGGAUGUGAAAUCCCUGAGCUUAACUUAGGAAUUGCAUUCGAUACUGGGAAGCUAGAGUAUGGGAGAGGAUGGUAGAAUUCCAGGUGUAGCGGUGAAAUGCGUAGAGAUCUGGAGGAAUACCGAUGGCGAAGGCAGCCAUCUGGCCUAAUACUGACGCUGAGGUACGAAAGCAUGGGGAGCAAACAGGAUUAGAUACCCCGUGUAGUCCCUGUCUCUUAUA